UGGGGAAUAUUGCACAAUGGGGGAAACCCUGAUGCAGCGACGCCGCGUGAACGAAGAAGGUAUUCGUAUCGUAAAGUUCUGUCCUAUGGGAAGAUAAUGACAGUACCAUAGAAGAAAGCUCCGGCUAAAUACGUGCCAGCAGCCGCGGUAAUACGUAUGGAGCGAGUGUUGUCCGGAAUUAUUGGGCGUAAAGGGUACGCAGGCGGUUUAAUAAGUCGAAUGUUAAAGAUCGGGGCUCAACCCCGUAAAGCAUUGGAAACUGAUAAACUUGAGUAGUGGAGAGGAAAGUGGAAUUCCUAGUGUAGUGGUGAAAUACGUAGAUAUUAGGAGGAAUACCAGUAGCGAAGGCGACUUUCUGGACACAAACUGACGCUGAGGUACGAAAGCGUGGGGAGCAAACAGG
This 403-nucleotide ribosomal RNA is filed under the name bacterium. Its description in RNAcentral is "partial 16S ribosomal RNA". It matches the Rfam family "Bacterial small subunit ribosomal RNA", at positions 355 to 776 of the family's 1533-position model. The record is from RNAcentral.